AAAAGAAAAGGAGGACUUGCGGCGCCUUAGCGACUGACAACCCUCGCUAGACUCUCUAGCUCCCUUGCGCUGCCUGUUUCAUUGCACUGCGGCUGUUUCCGAGAGGUCCGCGCAGGGUGCUGGUGUUGAGAUCUUGGGCUGGAGAGAAUUCGCUGCCUCCCGCGUCUUCUCCCCUUUCGUGUAACGUCAGGGGCGCGAGUAAAGCGGACGGAUCUGUCAAUGACCGGCCUGCCCGAGGACAAAAAGCCAGGGAGCUGCCGCGGCGCAGGGCUGGGCUCCAUUGAGCCCUCUUGAUGAAUGAAAGGCGGCCGCGUGCCGGGUCUCCGCUAGAGGGAGCCCAGGGUCGCUCCGUGGGAGAGACGCCGGCGGCUCGGAACCGCAAAGCCCGGCGCUCGGCGGGCUUCGCCUCAGCCGGCAGGGCGGCCCGCUUGCCCAGUCUUGCCCGGAGCGGGCGGGCGGAGGAAGGCGUGCGCUUGCCCGCCGUUGUGUAACGCUAAGCGGGAGCCGCCGCCGCCGGGCAGGCGCCUGGCCAGUCAAUCCCAGGCUGAGCAGGAAAAAAUCAUGCCCCUGGGGAGAGGAACUGGUGUGGUUCUGGAAAGAUAGUCAUGGAAGGGGUAGCACUAUUAGAAACUAUGGUGAGAGCUCACAGUCCCAAUCAAAGUGACAACAGUGGUGGGGGAAGUCUGUGUAGAGAUGAAAGUAGAAAGAAGAGGCAAGAGUGGAAAUGAGAGGCAGCAGAGCUGGAGGAAUCACGAACCUGGAAACUUGGAUCAUCCAGGAGAAGAGUAGGAGGGUUGCUAAUAAGUUCUAUUCUCAGAAGCAAAACAUUAGAUCAAGGCAGCAAGAAAGAAGCAACCAGGGGAGGAGGAGAAGGAAAAAACCAAAACCCUACAGUCAUUAUGUAUAUGUACUUUUGCUUUGAUCUAUUUAAAUGAUGGAGGAAUUCUUUCUUUCUUUCUUUCUUUCUUUCUUUCUUUCUUUCUUUCUGAAUCAUUGGGAAGACAUGGCUUAAUUUAGAAUAAAACAAAGAAUAUCCAUAAUAUAAAUAAUUUUAGCAGAACUAAACUGAGCUCUGUGGCCCUAUUAGUGGCUCAAGAGAGGGAGGAAUAGUGCUAAAAGUAAGAGGUUAGACUUGGUUUCAGGAGAUAAAUUUGCAUAGGAGGGCAGGGGAUGGCUUAAAUCACUGAGCUGCAGUUUCAGCCAGAAGCUGCUGCUGUUUUUAUCCUCCUGCUACCACCUCACCCACUUUCUUUUUGUCCAGAUAGACAAAAAGAAAGAGGAUAAAAAGCUUCCUUGAGCCACUAUGCUUUGAUGACUCUGUUACUACAACUAUUAACCUCAGGUGCUACCUUUGGCUUUGUCUAUACUAGAAAAGCACAAUGAUUUAACUAAACCAUUUAAAUGUGACUUAUUUUAACCAUUGCAAACGGCUAAUAUAGAUGCAUAUGAGCUACUUUGACUAUUGUGUAUAUAGAUUUAGCUUAAAUUGGCAACUUAUGUUCUAUUAUAUUGUCAGAUCUCCCUUCCUCCUUUCACAGAAGUUCUGUGAUUCAAUUAUGGUGUGACCUUGGGCAAGUGAUUGAAGCUCCGUGGCUUCUAAUUUCUUCAUCAGGGUGCUAAUCCAAAGCACAUUAAAAUGAAUGAAACUCUUUCUACUGACUACAGUGGGCUUUGGGUCAGUCCCCUUUUCAGUAAGGAUGCUGUGAGGAUUAAUUAAUUCCCCUGCUGCUACAUCCACAUUGCUGUUUUUAGCAUGCUAGCUUGAGCAGAACCAGUGUGUGUCCGUAUAACUGGGCUGGGAGGCAUACUGUUAGGGACCUCAGAUGGCUUAAGUUAGAGAUGCCCUGAGGCUGAUGGAGCAGUGAGAGUGUCAUUUAGUCUCCAUGCCCAUCAAAUCCUUUAAAUCUUUGCUGUGACUGCCACCAUUUAUGCCAACUGUGUUGCUGGUUUGGUCAUAUGGAAACUUACCCAGUUGGAACUGGAGGGAGACUACUAAUUUAUUUCACAAACAGCACUGAACAAUCAUUAGAUAUUAGUGACUUUUUUGGCUGCUAAUGACCUGGGCCUAAAUUUGAUCUGGUCAUCUAGAAGUGAAAGACUCUCUGGAAACUAUUACUACUCACCAAAUAAGCACAGGCCACAUCACCUCCAAAAGUCUGCUGUUUGAGAUUAUAGCAAAUGUAUAAAUUAUUCAAUGCAAAUGUGGAGUUUUUGUAAAUAAAUAAAAUAAAAUAAAUAAAGCUAGUUGAAAUGCUUCUGAAUAUGAUGGGAACAGCCAUUUCUAAAUGUCAGUAGAGCCAAGAGAUUGUGUAGGGGGAAAAAUGGCCAUAGUUUGAGUAUAAAAGUUUAAGGCAUUAUCCUGUGAAAAAUCUAUUAUUGUAAAAUGAUCUGUAUACAUGGUAGAACUGUGACUUGCAAUUAUAUUCUUUUACCACAGAAAAAUGCUUGCAGGAAACAAUAUGGCAUAGUAAAACCUAUUUGGAAGCAAAUGUAUGGGUUAAGAGCAUGUGGUCUAUCAUGCUAUUUUUUAACUUGAUAUUUUCAACUUCUGGGACAUUGAACAGUUACCAGCAAUAUGUCGUGAGCAAAUUUCUUUUAUUUGUAAUGCUUGCUGUCAUUUGUAGUGUAAGUCUCAAUUGAAACAUUAAACUUUUUAUGAACUGGAAA
This is a long non-coding RNA of Dermochelys coriacea (leatherback sea turtle), 2667 nucleotides long. RefSeq lists it as uncharacterized. The transcript is spliced from 6 exons. Lineage: Eukaryota; Metazoa; Chordata; Testudines; Dermochelyidae. The record is from RefSeq and is a predicted model, not a curated record.